GUGGGAUCAGUACAAGAGCUUCUAAAUAUAAUAAGAGUACAAAAGUGAACUAUCGAGAGAAUUAUCCUGAUGCAACUUAUCUCUGCAUGCAACAUAGAGAUUAGUCUAAUACAUAAGAGAGAGAUGAGUAAUACUCCGAACGUUAGGAGCUCACUCUAAGUCUCUAAAUCAUGGUUGCUCUGCACGAGACACACGCCAAUAAAGAUAACUAGUAAUAUGAUCUGCAACCUGCUGAAGUGUAGUAUGAGUACAAAAUUAAUGGUACUCAGUAGCCAACUGCUAGCUGAGCCCCAAUGAUAAAGCAAAUAUAUACACCAUAUAAAUAGAAUGAAAACUACACCCAAGAGUCUAGAAAUCAUAUCACAAGUCAAUUAGAUAAUAAGGAACAACUAUCCUGUUUAGGUCCAAGAGACUAACAUAAUAAGACUAAGGAAGCAUCAAGGGUGAACUAUUCUAUUCGAGCUACAUUCAAUAGACGUCAAUGUUAUACUAUAUAUCCCAAGUCAUUAUAUGAAUAAAGGGCAAAUGAAAGAUAUAUAGCAAUAUACAAGGCGAAGAAACAAAUCUAUAGUAAGAACAAAUGAAGGGGGGAUAUGCAAUAAUUCCAUAGCUUCAUAUAGCUAUACAUAUAUAUACAUAUAUAUAUAUAUACAUACAUAUAUAGACGUAAGGCCAUCUCAAAGCAUAACCUAGAUCAUCAUAUUCUCAUUUUAAGACCUUAUUAGAAUACUAUCAGGAUUUAAUACCAUCAUACUAAAGGUUUCUAACCCACAUGGCUAGACAUGAUAUAAUCAUGCAUAACAAUGCAAUCACAAGAUAGAAGAGGCCGAAUACAUACCUUAAAUCCCAAUACUAGAUCAAUGACUAAUCUAUCAUAAGUUAGCCAUAUAAUAACAAUAUCAAUAUCAGUGUGAAUAAUCGGCUACUCCGAACAACCGAAUACCUAGCCGAGCAUAUGCGUACCCCCACCUCCCCAGACUAGAAAGUUUCAAUCAACACACAACAACACAAGGCAUAUUCUUCACCCAUAUCUAUGCAACCAUUUCAUACCGAUUGAAAGACAUAAGAGCAUACUGGUGAUAGGCGAUGCGCAUGUAGGAAUGAAUGCAACGUACAUAAUCAAUAUCAUAACUUAUCAUAACUGUCAUCAUCAUGACCAUUAUCAUCGUAAUCAACGUCUGGCCUUGUCAGGUAUUAAUAUCUCAUCAUAGUAUCAUCUGGCAUUGCCGGGUAUCAAUGUAUCACAAUAGUAUCUUCCGACCUUGUCGGGCAUCAAUAUAUCACCAUAGUAUCCUCCGGACUUGUUAGGUAUCAAUAUAUCAUCAUAGUAUCCUUCGGCCUUACCGGAUAUCACUAUAUUGUUAUAGUAUCCUCCGACCUUGCCGGGUAUCAAUAUAUCAUCAUCAAUUAACGUAAAAGAAUAACGUAAAUCAAGUACUCAUAACCAUAAACGUAACACCAUAAAGAUAACUAUCUUAUCAAUAUAUUCUAUCUACCCAUUGUUAACUAACUAGUAAUCACUAUUGUAUUGUUAAUUCACUAUCCAUCAUCUAGUAAAAUAUCACUAUCAUCAUUCAAACACUUAUUAACCUAUAUUCGUUAAUCAUUAUUAACUAGUGAUCUCUUAUUACUAACCUCAUUAAUACACAAAUCCUCGUUUAAUAACUAAACGACAUCGUAAACUUAGUCAUUAAUAACAACUAAUCUUCACCUAUGCUAAACUCGACAACACCAUUAACCAUACAUCAACUAUCGCUAGGUACCAUAAUUCAACUAAGCAAGGUCCAUUAGACUCCUAGUCAUCAAGUGCUAUAGUCAUCUAAUAGAAAACUAAUUACUACGUAGCUUAACCCUUAAUUAGGAAGAACAGUCAUAAAAUCACAUUGUAUAUAGAAUUGCAUCAAUUAUUGAUAUAAUAAUCAUGAAUGUACCGAAUCUAUGUAUGCCAUCACCAGUAUUCAAUUUGUGAAAAAAUAAGCAUCAUACCGCAUCUUCCUCCAUCCCAUACUGGAGAGAUGUGUAUAUGCACAUACAUAUAAAAUUAUACCGCAUCAUACCGCAUCGGAGUUGUUUUGAAUAUUAAAUUGAUGAAAAACUAGUAAUUCUAAGAUAAGAAUAUUAUUCAAGUGAAAAGGAGUGAAAUUGAGGUUUAAAAUCAAGCCCUAAGAUUUUUGGGGUUUUGAGGAAUUAAUCAAUAAAUUUUACCGAAAAGGGUGAAUUCUUACCUUAAAUUCGUAAAAGAAUCAAGAAAUAGAUGCUAAUCUAGCUUUUCGAACUUCCACUAGUUUCACUUUUAAGCUCCGACACUAUUUUAGGGUUUAACUCUCAAGAGGAAAGAUGAAAAAUAAGCAAAAUGAGCUCAAAACUACUUUAAAUAGUGUAGAAAAAUCUGCACAGCUUUUCCCCCUUCCGAGACGGACUUCGACGAGGUGCCCGGAAUUCAUUCGGAGUCCAAUAUACGCAAACGAACUAUGUAACCAUACUAAAUUCGACGCUCCAAACUCAAUGACAGUAUCAAAUUUUUGAAAAAAUAUCGUUUUCAAAAAAUUGACCCCCAAAACUCGAAAUCACAAUUUUCCAAAUCGUGGGUCGAAAUGAGCUCGGUGCAUUGUGAUCCGAACAACAGGUCUAUCUAACCUAAAAUCGACAUUCUAGAUUUGUUGGUGCAAUUGAAAUUUGCAUUCGAGAUUGUUUCACUAAAGUUUUCUCCCGGUGGCAAUUUGAAACCAACAAAGAAUUCAAAACAAGAAAUUGGCUCUAAAACCAAAUAAAUUGCCCGGUAAUCGAACCGUCAGUUCCAACAAGUCAUAAAUGACUUGGGACAUCUAUGGAGAAGCUCAAAUGACGGAAAUAAGUGUAAAUAUGAAAAAUGACCUGAAGAAUCAUUACAUAAGCAUAUAAUAAGUUCUUGUGAUCCGGCCUUCCUUAAUCCCCAGUCCCCAAAUUUUAGUGCACCGGAUUUUUUCUUUUUAAUCAUCGUUCUUUGAGCCCAAUUUAUUUCUACAUUUUAGGUAAAAAGAUCCGACAUGUAUACAAUGAUAUUUUUCCAGUGACAUGCAAUACUUUGUGUGCAUAUAGUUGUUUGUCCUUUGUGCCCAAAGAAAUAUCUAGGGUGGUUCUGAUCUUCAAUGAUAUGAUUUUAUGUGUGUAGAGUUGAUUUGUGUAAAACGUGAUCUGCACCCCUCUAGUUCUCUAAUCUCUUUCCGUUUUGUUAUACUUUUGCUGGAUUUUUAAAAAUACACCAUUUUUAAAGAUCCCGACAUGCAGCUAAUGAUAUUUUAGAAGAUUGCCAACAUAAAUUAUGCCAAUGUAUUUUCAAAGAUGGCCACCUUGUUGGUUGGUCUUUUGUUUUUCUGAAAUGGUAAACUAAAAAUAUCAAGAUAAAAAAUAAUAUUAAUUAAUUAUAUAUCUCUGCGCUAAGAAAAAUUAAUCUAAGUUGGAGAGAUGGUAUAUGGGUUGGCUUUAAUUACCUUCGAGUCUUUCUGUUGUCCAUCCUGUAUUUCAUAUUUGAAUACGGCAGUACCUUUUAGAUGUUGUUAUGGAAUUCGGUUGACU
This 3555-nucleotide long non-coding RNA is filed under the name Capsicum annuum. RNAcentral's name for it is "long non-coding RNA (CANN_LNC018068)". The record is from RNAcentral. Lineage: Eukaryota; Viridiplantae; Streptophyta; Magnoliopsida; Solanales; Solanaceae.